CAACAGUUGGAAACGACUGCUAAUACCGCAUGAUACAUUUGGGUGGCAUCAUCUGAAUGUCAAAGAUUUAUCGCUGAAAGAUGGCCUCGCGUCUGAUUAGCUGGUUGGUGAGGUAACGGCCCACCAAGGCGACGAUCAGUAGCCGGACUGAGAGGUUGACCGGCCACAUUGGGACUGAGAUACGGCCCAGACUCCUACGGGAGGCAGCAGUGGGGAAUAUUGGGCAAUGGGCGCAAGCCUGACCCAGCAACGCCGCGUGAAGGAAGAAGGCUUUCGGGUUGUAAACUUCUUUUAAGAGGGAAGAGCAGAAGACUGUACCUCUAGAAUAAGCCACGGCUAACUACGUGCCAGCAGCCGCGGUAAUACGUAGGUGGCAAGCGUUGUCCGGAUUUACUGGGUGUAAAGGGCGUGCAGCCGGGAAUGCAAGUCAGAUGUGAAAUCCAUGGGCUUAACCCAUGAACUGCAUUUGAAACUGUAUUUCUUGAGUACUGGAGAGGCAAUCGGAAUUCCUAGUGUAGCGGUGAAAUGCGUAGAUAUUAGGAGGAACACCAGUGGCGAAGGCGGAUUGCUGGACAGCAACUGACGGUGAGGCGCGAAAGUGUGGGGAGCAAACAGGAUUAGAUACCCUGGUAGUCCACACUGU
This 643-nucleotide ribosomal RNA is filed under the name uncultured bacterium. RNAcentral describes it as "bacterial SSU rRNA". It matches the Rfam family "Bacterial small subunit ribosomal RNA", at positions 144 to 803 of the family's 1533-position model. The record is from RNAcentral.